CACAGAGAGUAGGAAAUCAAAUUACAAAACAACAACAACAAAAAAAGACAUCAUUAACAAGCAGCUGCUCCUGAAGCAACAUUAGAAUUAGAGAUAUUAAAGUUGCAGGUUGGCAGGAAAGAGGUGGAUUUGACAGGCAAGGGAGAAGGCUCUACAAGAAGGGGUCCAGAGAAGUCCUGAAAGGAUGGAGCAACUGAAACAAAACACCAAAUCACGGCAGCCUGUUGGCAGAGGGAACACUCCCUGCAUGACUGCUGCACAAAUGGAAAAGAUGUUCAGUGAGGAAAAGAAUACAAGUUUGUAAAUUGUACUGAUUUUUCGAGAAGAUGGCAGUUAAAAUGAUGUUUGACAGAGAGUCUGUCACGAAGAGAAGCUAUUGCAAGCUUCCCACUAAGCACAACUCUGUCUUAUACAAAAGGAAUUGUUAUGUGCAAGGAAAA
Molecule: long non-coding RNA, 440 nt
Organism: Pipra filicauda (Wire-tailed manakin)
Lineage: Eukaryota; Metazoa; Chordata; Aves; Passeriformes; Pipridae
Exons: 2
Source: RefSeq, a predicted model, not a curated record